RNAcentral lists this ribosomal RNA (352 nucleotides) under uncultured Desulfobulbus sp. Its description in RNAcentral is "bacterial SSU rRNA". It matches the Rfam family "Bacterial small subunit ribosomal RNA", at positions 1032 to 1382 of the family's 1533-position model. The record is from RNAcentral. Lineage: Bacteria; Pseudomonadati; Thermodesulfobacteriota; Desulfobulbia; Desulfobulbales; Desulfobulbaceae.
AGACAGGUGCUGCAUGGCUGUCGUCAGCUCGUGUCGUGAGAUGUUGGGUUAAGUCCCGCAACGAGCGCAACCCUUGCCUUUAGUUGCCAGCAGUUCGGCUGGGCGACUCUAAAGGGACUGCCGGUGUUAAACCGGAGGAAGGUGGGGAUGACGUCAAGUCCUCAUGGCCUUUAUGACCAGGGCUACACACGUACUACAAAUGGCCGAUACAAAGGGCAGCGACACUGCGAGGUGAAGCCAAUCCCGUAAAAUCGGUCUCAGUCCGGAUUGGAGUCUGCAACUCGACUCCAUGAAGUUGGAAUCGCUAGUAAUCGUGGAUCAGCAUGCCACGGUGAAUACGUUCCCGGGCCUU